RNAcentral lists this ribosomal RNA (1920 nucleotides) under Triticum aestivum (bread wheat). RNAcentral describes it as "partial small subunit ribosomal RNA". Lineage: Eukaryota; Viridiplantae; Streptophyta; Magnoliopsida; Poales; Poaceae. The record is from RNAcentral.
AUGGCUACAAAAGUUCGCCCACCUUCUACUGACGCAGAAAAAUUGGAGGUUGGAGAAAUAGAUACAAGAGCUCCUUUUGAAUCUGUCAAAGCUGCAGUGAGCUUAUUUGGUGAAGUAAGGUUUUCAUCUGACAAAUCAGCUGCGAGAAAGCCAAAGGCUCCUCAAGCAGAGCAGAAGGUGUUAGCUAAGGAGACCGAACUUCAUUUGGCCCAGAAAGAGUUGAAUAAAUACAGGGAACAACUGAGUAAUGCUGAAACAGCCAGACUACAGUCCCUCUCCGAGUUGGAGAAAGCUAGAAAAACUGUUGAUGAGCUAACUACUAAGCUGGAUGCAAUCAAUAAAUCCAAAGAGAUGGCUAUUCAAGCCACGGAAGAUACAAAGACUCGAACCAAGCAGCUUGAAGUAGGCAGCCCGAAGGAAGCUGUUCGAAAAGAUAGUCCCUUGAAGCAGGAACUGGACAGUGCAAGGCAACAGUAUGCGGUUGCUCUGGCAGACCUCGAUGCAGCCAAACAGGAGCUGAGGAAGCUUAAGAAGGAUUUUGAAACCUCAUUAGAUAUGAGGCUGUCUGCUGCCCAGAAGGAAGAGGAGUCAUUGCACUCGAUAGAAGCCAACAAGGAAAAGGCUGCUCAACUUCGUAAUGAGGCUAAAGCAAUUCAAGAAUCGCUUAUGCACAUGAAGGCAGAUACAGAACAAUUACAUGAAGAGGAGUCGCAAGUCCUUGUUGAGAAGGAUGUUGCUAGGAAUGCAUAUAAACAGGCUUUGGAAGAAACUGAGAAGAAAUUGUCAUAUUUGAGAAAUGAAUUUGAUCCUGCUGCUUAUAAAACCCUUAAAGAAAAGCUAGAUGAGACCAACUCUGAGAUUUCAUCAAUGCAGAAAAAGAUCGAAGAUGCCCGUGCUCUAGAUUUAGAAACUGUUGCUGCUAUCACCACAGAAUUGGAUGAUGCUAAGGAAAUGUUGCAGAAAGUAGCUGAAGAGGAAAGCACACUUUGGAACUUAGUAGAAUCCCUGAAGCUGGAGUUAGCAGCUGGAAAGCAGGACCACAGUCAACUCAAAGAGAAGGAUACAGAUACUGAAUCCAUUGUUGCAGAUCUACAUGCCAAGCUUCAGAAAUGCAAAUCUGAGCUUGAGGUAGCUGUUUGUGCUGAAUCAGAAGCUGCAACAGCUUCUGAUGACUUGAUGCUAGCUCUUCAACAGCUGUCGUGUGAGUCUAAAACUGCCCUGCAGGAAGCUGAAAUGAUGCAGAAGAGUGCAGCAGAGUUAAGAAUUGAAGCUGAAGCAGCACGUGUUGCGUUAACAGAAGCCGAGGAACGGUUGCAAUCAGCUUUGAAAGAAGCAGAAGAAGCAAAAGCAGCUGAAGCGAAGGCCCUUGACCAGAUUAAGCAGCUAUCAGACAGAGCAAGUGCUGUUCAAGCUUCAACUUCUGAACCCGGAGGAAAGGUCACAAUCUCAAAAGCGGAGUUUGAAUCUCUUAGCCGUAAGGUAAAGGAGUCAGAGAAGUUGAGUGAGAUGAAAGUAGCUGCUGCCAUGGCGCAAGUGGAAGCUGUUAGAGCCAGUGAGAAUGAGGCAAUACAGAAAAUGAAAACUGCCCGGAGAGAGAUGGAGGACAUGGAAUUAGCAACAGAGGAGGCACUGAAGAGGGCGGAGACGGCUGAAGCAGCAAAGAAGGCUGUAGAAGGUGAGCUUAAGAGGUGGCGUGAAAAGGAACAGAAGAAAGCUGCAGAGUCCGUGUCUUCUGCAGAAGCGCAAGCACACGCAACCACACUUUCAUCUGUACACAAGGCUCCUGCUGGAAAACCCACCGAGAAGAAUGAUGGGCAUCAAAGGAACAACAGAACGCUGUUGAGGAAGGGCUUUGUGUUGCCAAACAUCACAGGCAUGUUUCAUAAGAAGAAGGGCCAUGCCGAUGGCAGUUCUCCAUAA